Struthio camelus australis is the source of this 3044-nucleotide non-coding RNA. The record is from RefSeq and is a predicted model, not a curated record. NCBI's taxonomy places the organism in Eukaryota, Metazoa, Chordata, Aves, Struthioniformes, Struthionidae.
UUUAUUGAUGGAUUUCUAAACUGCUAUAAAUGUGGACUUCCCAGUAUCCCACAGGUUUCCAUGUAGCAGUUGUCCUUAGUGUAAAUAAACAAUCAUAUUUGCAUCUGCAGCAUUCCAGUGAGUUGCUGUGGUUGUAUUAUUUUCUUUGUAUUGAGGUGGUAGUAAAAAAGAUCUGAAUGCUGAAAAGACAGUUCUUUUUGAAUUCAGUCGCAAAUUAGGCUUCAAGCAUCUCAGGUAGCCUACCUAGAAAAUGCAGCCUGUAUGGUGUGAACAUCUGUGAUAUUUCAUUUUAACGAUCUGCCCAACAUCAUGUGGCAGAUAGCACAGUGCAGUCCAGUUCCCCAGGAAUGUAUUUGCCUGUCUUCAACACAGGACUGCAGGUUCAAGCACAGAGGAAGUUGGAGUGCUUCUACUCUAUGAAUACAAUACGUUGCCCCAUUGAGUUUUUUUUCAUCCAGCAAGUUUGAUAUCAGUGUUCUACCAUGAGAAAUAGGAAGGACAAAGGUUUUUGUAGUACCCCCUGUCAGAUGUUUGAAAGUUCUUAAGUGACUGUGUCCCAUCUUUGCAGAUUCUACCUCAGCUUAUCCACGAAACUGGUUUUGACCAAAAGCAUCAAAAUUCUGAAGAAUGAAAGACUGUGGCAGUGGAGAAGGGCAUCAUCCAACACCUGGUGGAGGUCUGUGUGAGACAAAUGUGAAAACAAGCAUCUCAGGCCUUCCUGGACUAAUCCUGAGGGAUGCUAAAACCUUGAGCCUCUUAGAAAAUGUAUUUCGUGACCUCCUGUGGAGUGCUCAUGCCUUAUCGGGAUCUCUUAUUGGGAUCCUACAUGCACAGCAGCUGCUGGUCCUCUACUGCAUCAGCUAAAAAGCCAGAACUUCAAGAGCUACUGAAGAAACUACCGCUGUUUCAGCCCACAGAGUGACUGAGGGAAAACAGGAACACCUUCCAAACAGAUCUUCUGUUUUGAUCUGCAGAAAGAGGAAGACCACACUCUGCUAGGGAAUUUUGCAGAGUUUUCUGGCAGCAGAGAAAUGGUGAAACUUGGAAAUGCUGGUUUGUAUUCAGGGUCUGAAGAGGAGAGUAGUAGGUUCAAAUCUUUCUAACAGCCUCUUCCAUGCAUGCACUUCUGUAAGGAACUGAUUCAUGGCCUUGGCAUAAGUACAUACAUUUUGUCUCCUGCCAUAAGAAAACCCAUACUUACUUCUUCCCAUCUACUCAAAAGUGAUGUGCAAGCAGGUCAAUAGAAUGGAAGUCCUUGUAACAGCGAGAUAACAACUCUGACAUGCUUAUCCCCAACGCUGUGAUUUCCUUUGGCCAGAUAUGAACACACAUGCUAUAAUUUUAGUGACUGUUUACUUCACACAAAUGUCAUGACACAUUGUAAAUCACACCCACUGUAUUGCCAUGUGUCCAGACAUGCUGUGACCGCAAUCCUUGAGAACCUUGAACGGAGCUAGUCAUCAAGAACAACAUGCACAGGAAAGCAUGCUUUACAAAGUGCUGGGCUUGGGAACUUGGAAGAGUUUUAUCACCAAAUUUGGAGCUGACUGUACCUUCUUUCCCAGGUGUUUCCCGUACCUUUUUUCUUAGUGUUACCUUAUUAGCUGAAGCACAAUUUUCUAGCAUUUUGUUCUUUAAAAUGACUGAGCUAUUUCUGAAGAAACUUUAAAACUAUCCUGAAGCUAAGUUCCUGCUAUAUGGCAUUUCAGGUGGCAAAACUAGUUUGGUAGUCAAGACAUAUUUUAAACUUUCAAUCCAAAGCUAUGACAUUUGUCAUGGAAACACGAAGAUCCAUGUGGUCCUCUGCAAACACAUCAGCCCCAGUGCUAAGGCUUUGUGAGGAAGACACCUUCUCAUCGUUAAUGCUGGGAUGAUGGAAACUGUUGUCUACCGAAGUUCAAAUGAGUGUGGACUUUGCAGUCUUCAAUAUUAAAGGUUUAUGUUGCUAUGAUGGUAAUAAUUCAAGAGUGGGACACAAAUCCGUAUUCUGAGAGGAUGUUAGGACUGUAAAAUGGAGCCUACAACCUCGUGCCCCUCAGACCCUGCCACAUCCUCUGGGGACUAUUACAAAGUCUAGUUAUGAUAGCAUACUCCUUAAAAAUAAAAUUAAAAAAUAAAAUCCCUUGCCCAAGACUUACUCAAUAGGGUACAGGUUAAAGACAGGAAUUACAUUCUUUGCAACAAAAUAAUACCCCAGUAAGUCACCAUAAAAGAUGAUCUUCAGACUGAAAUGUGGAUAUAGCUAAUAGGGAGUAAAAAUAUGCUCUGUAUGUGAAUUGGCUGCUCUGUAUGUGAAUUGGCUCACAGUGCCUUUUCCUCACAUCCCUGUUACACAUCUUUCUUAAAUAAAUUAACCUGCCAGUGUCCUCUCUCCCAGUAACUUUGGACUCUGUUGGCCAGUAUCAAGCAAAUACUGUAGAAGAAUACAUUGAUGGCUAGUUCGAGAUGAAGAAGCCAAUGAGUCCCUUUUUCUUCCCACACUGAGGUAAAGGCUAGGAGACCUCCACUCUCAGGUUAGCCCACAUGCUGAUGUAUGUGCAUUCCCAGCUAGACACAAGCGUUGCUGAUGUGUACCCCACCAGGAGACAACGUGGGAUGGAUGUUAGGGUGCCAUAUUAGGGCUGUGCAAAAUACAGAUCUGAACAGGGGGUGUUGUAGAGGGAUUCAGGCGUUGCUGAUUGCGAAAGUGAGGGAGCAUCUGGGUGGACUUGUUGCACAUGAUUCUGUGAGAAACAAACUUUGUUAAUCCCACUGCUUACAGCACUUCUCUGCCUAUCUAGUUCUUUAACAGUUUAACUGCAAUGAUUAAAAAGAAGGCAUAUGUUUCUUUUGCUUGAGAAGUACAGAAAGUGUCCUGAAUCUCAGGCACUGCAGAAGCAAAAUGCAAUGCAACCAGAAGCAAUAGAAAUAGUCAAGGCAAGGAGAAUUUAUUGCAGGCUUCACCUUUAAACUGAACCAAAAUUAAGUUUGGCACAGAGAGCUGCUUGAUCAUGCUAAAAGACAUAAGGAACGAAAAUCAUAGAAUCACAGAAUCACCGAACGAU